UACGUAGGGGGCAAGCGUUGUCCGGAAUCAUUGGGCGUAAAGAGCGCGUAGGCGGCCCAGUAAGUCCGCUCUGAAAGUCAGAGGCUCAACCUCUGAAUGCGGGUGGAUACUGCUGGGCUAGAGUCCGGAAGAGGCGAGUGGAAUUCCUGGUGUAGCGGUGAAAUGCGCAGAUAUCAGGAGGAACACCGGUGGCGAAGGCGGGUCUCUGGGCCGAUACUGACGCUGAGGAGCGAAAGCGUGGGGAGCGAACAGG
This 253-nucleotide ribosomal RNA is filed under the name uncultured bacterium. RNAcentral's name for it is "partial 16S ribosomal RNA". It matches the Rfam family "Bacterial small subunit ribosomal RNA", at positions 524 to 776 of the family's 1533-position model. The record is from RNAcentral.